Molecule: ribosomal RNA, 367 nt
Filed under: uncultured organism
Description: bacterial LSU rRNA
Rfam family: Bacterial large subunit ribosomal RNA
Source: RNAcentral
CUUUACUGUAGCCUGGUAUUGGGUUCGGGCUUUGACUGCGCAGGAUAGGUGGGAGACUGAGAAGUGUGCCUUGUGGGGCACAUAGAGUCAACGGUGAGAUACCACUCUGUCAGAGCUAGAAUUCUAACCUUCACCCGUGAUCCGGGGAAGGAACCGUAUCAGGUGGGCAGUUUGACUGGGGCGGUCGCCUCCUAAAAGGUAACGGAGGCGCGCAAAGGUGUUCUCAGGCUGGUUGGAAAUCAGCCGUAGAGUGUAAAGGCAGAAGAACGCUUGACUGUGAGAGUGACAACUCAAGCAGGGACGAAAGUCGGCCUUAGUGAUCCGACGGCACUGAGUGGCAGGGCCGUCGCUCAACGGAUAAAAGUUA